AUGGUGGGCGCGGGUCGAGAGCGCUCCGGGGCUCCUACCUCGGCGCGUGGUGGGAGGGGUAGUUCCAUUCCCCCCCAUAGCCUCUGGAGAGCGCUAGAUCUCAGUUUGCAGAGUCCAGCGACGGUCGCUUCUUCUUCGGCCGGGAGAGGUCGAGGGGGUAAGAAGAAGGAGAAGGCUGCUAGAGGUGGACGUGGCGUCGGGAGAGGUAGGAAGGCUGCUACGCCUUCCUCGCCGCCACCCCCAGCUGAGUCACCCGACCACAGGGCUGCUCCGUCUGAGAUCGAGCCAUCUGAGGUGGACCCGUCUAUGGCAGACGCGCCUACGGCCGACGAGCCUCGGGCCGACGACGAGCCUCGGGCCGCCGAGCCUCGGGCUGCCGAGUCUUCGCCCCACGAGACUCCGGAGCUCAGAUGGGGUCACGUUGAGUCGGAGCCGAGCCCAUGGGAGGACUGGACGGAGUCGAGUGCACAUGGUUGUGUUCAGGGUGGACACUAUAGUCCUGAUAGCUAUAGCGAGGGUGAGUGGGUUGAGGGGCGCAAAGUCUACCAGCGUGGUUGUACAAAGCUCCCGCCCACCCCGGCGACCCCCGACCAGAGGUGGUUGAUUGCGCCUAACGGGGAGAAUUCUUGGACACACGAAGAUUGUGUCCGCAGGCCCAACACUGUCCUUGGUGUGAUUUGUCGCCAGUGCUUCCCGGGGUGGGUCAUGUUGCCCGGUGAGGGCCGGGUUCCAGAGCUAGGAAUGACCUGGGAGCACUACUUGACUGCCCCGGCCCCGCCGGAGCAUAGGGUCGGCGAUGUCGAGUGCGACACGGUGGCCGACAUUGUGAUCGCCACGUUUUGGACCUUCUAUAGGUGUGCUGAGGGACAGGAGGAGGCCGCGGCUCGGGUUAUCGACUCCGAGUGCAGGCGCCUACUUGGAAACUUUCGGCACGAGGCUCGGACGCAGGCUGUUCGAGACUACUUAGCACAGACUGGUAUUAGGAGGAGAAAAGAGAAGUGCCGGGACAAGUAUCUGAGUAAGGAGAAGUACAUGAAGGUGCCUCCGAGAUGGUGUGCGGACAAGAUGGACUGCUGGGAGGUGUGUGUCCCAAGUGUUUUGCUUAAUAGAGUUUUGUUGUGA
RNAcentral lists this ribosomal RNA (1122 nucleotides) under Triticum aestivum (bread wheat). Its description in RNAcentral is "partial small subunit ribosomal RNA". The record is from RNAcentral. Lineage: Eukaryota; Viridiplantae; Streptophyta; Magnoliopsida; Poales; Poaceae.